GCAGUCGACGGCAGCACAGAGGAGCUUGCUCCUUGGGUGGCGAGUGGCGGACGGGUGAGGAAUACGUCGGAAUCUGCCUAUUUGUGGGGGAUAACGUAGGGAAACUUACGCUAAUACCGCAUACGACCUACGGGUGAAAGCGGAGGACCUUCGGGCUUCGCGCAGAUAGAUGAGCCGACGUCGGAUUAGCUAGUUGGCGGGGUAAAGGCCCACCAAGGCGACGAUCCGUAGCUGGUCUGAGAGGAUGAUCAGCCACACUGGAACUGAGACACGGUCCAGACUCCUACGGGAGGCAGCAGUGGGGAAUAUUGGACAAUGGGCGCAAGCCUGAUCCAGCCAUGCCGCGUGUGUGAAGAAGGCCUUCGGGUUGUAAAGCACUUUUGUCCGGAAAGAAAAGCUUCGGGUUAAUACCCCGAGGUCAUGACGGUACCGGAAGAAUAAGCACCGGCUAACUUCGUGCCAGCAGCCGCGGUAAUACGAAGGGUGCAAGCGUUACUCGGAAUUACUGGGCGUAAAGCGUGCGUAGGUGGUUUGUUAAGUCUGAUGUGAAAGCCCUGGGCUCAACCUGGGAAUGGCAUUGGAAACUGGCUUACUAGAGUGCGGUAGAGGGUAGUGGAAUUCCCGGUGUAGCAGUGAAAUGCGUAGAUAUCGGGAGGAACAUCUGUGGCGAAGGCGACUACCUGGACCAGCACUGACACUGAGGC
RNAcentral lists this ribosomal RNA (704 nucleotides) under Lysobacter sp. Its description in RNAcentral is "bacterial SSU rRNA". It matches the Rfam family "Bacterial small subunit ribosomal RNA", at positions 57 to 752 of the family's 1533-position model. The record is from RNAcentral. Lineage: Bacteria; Pseudomonadati; Pseudomonadota; Gammaproteobacteria; Lysobacterales; Lysobacteraceae.